This 246-nucleotide ribosomal RNA is filed under the name uncultured bacterium. RNAcentral describes it as "partial 16S ribosomal RNA". It matches the Rfam family "Bacterial small subunit ribosomal RNA", at positions 796 to 1041 of the family's 1533-position model. The record is from RNAcentral.
CUGGCCGUAAACGGUGUGCACUUGGUGUGGGAGGACUUAUACCCCUUCCGUGCCGUAGCUAACGUGAUAAGUGCACCGCCUGGGGAGUACGGUCGCAAGAUUAAAACUCAAAGGAAUUGACGGGGGCCCGCACAAGCGGUGGAGCAUGUGGCUUAAUUCGAUGCAACGCGAAGAACCUUACCUGGGUUUGACAUGGGAGCCCUUCGGGGUUAGUCCGGUGAAAGCCGGAUGCGUCCACACAGGUGC